This 705-nucleotide ribosomal RNA is filed under the name Triticum aestivum (bread wheat). RNAcentral's name for it is "partial small subunit ribosomal RNA". Lineage: Eukaryota; Viridiplantae; Streptophyta; Magnoliopsida; Poales; Poaceae. The record is from RNAcentral.
AUGGUGGUUUUUUUUCAUAACUACCUGAACUCUGGUUACUUGCAAGAGAGAGCCAUUUUAGCCCCUACCAAUGACCAUGCUGAGGAUAUUAAUGAUCAUAUUCUUGCAUUGGUUCCUACUGAUAGCAGAGACUAUUUGAGUGCUGAUUCUAUUGAUGAUUCUUCGGAUUCUGUUAGGGACAAAGAUGUUUACUAUCCAGUCGAGUACCUGAAUGCAACUAAAAUUAUAAAUUUCCCAAAUCAUAGGCUGACUCUUAAGGUUGGUGUUCCGGUUAUGCUUCUUAGAAACCCGAGCCAGGCAAAUGGUUUGUGUAAUGGUACACGACUAAUUGUAAAAGAAUUAGGUGAUCGGCUUAUCGAAGCUGUCAUUAUGACUGGCUCACAUGUGGGUGAUACUGUUUAUAUCCCCAGGAUUGAAUUAUUGGCAAAGAAGGGAAAUGCACCCUUUGUGCUUAGACGUCGCCAGUUUCCUGUUUGUGUGUGCUAUGCCAUGACAAUUAAUAAGAGCCAGGGACAGACCCUGUCUGCUGUUGGUAUAUAUCUUAAGGGUCCUGUUUUUACACACGGGCAGCUGUAUGUGGCAGUGUCUCGUGUUACGUCGAGGGCUUCUUUGAAAAUCCUUAUAUUAGAUGCUGAUGGCAAAUGCGGCUCUGAGACCAAGAACAUUGUUUUUCCUGAGGUCUUCCGGGCCGCGGGGAUGACUUAG